CACUGGUUGAUGCUCCUUGGGAAUGUUAACUCCUUGGCACUCAGCCAGCCCACAUGCAGCCUGAAGACCCCUGCUCUGGCAGGGGUCUGGACUGGGAGUUUGGGUGGCCAUGGAGAUGAAGAAAUGCACUUAAUAUGGCAAAAUAUUGGAACUUUCUGGACAUUCUGAUGAUUCACAGGGGACACAAAGAACAGAUUUUUACUAUCAUAGUGCCCUUACACCCCCUGCUUUGCAGGAACUCCUUAUGGAAUGGAAGCACAUCCAGGCUGAAGGCCCCUGUGUUCCAGAUGCUGUGUGAGUGUUGACCUGCCAGGCGACUCCACGAUGGCUUCCGUCCUCAGGUUCACCAUCAACUAAGACAGACUGAAGAUCUGCCUGACAUCCUGGUUCAGUUCCAGAGACUUGGACCACUGCUCCCUAGUUCCAGGGGGUGGCACAGGAGCCAAAAACGAGACCUGAGGCUGAAGCCCAACAGAAGAUGAAACUUGGGAGCAGCCUCAGCUUCGGGAAUCCUCACUUCCUGGCACAGCAGGUUUGGGUGCCACAGAGCCCAGGGCUAGACACCUGCCAGCAGUCCAUCAGUCACAGUCUCAGAUGAGUGGCAUCAAGGUGGAGCCCACUGAGGUGAAGGAAGGAGCUGUGAGGGACACCUGCAUCCUGCUGCAGAAAUGUCUGCCCCCCGCCUUGUCCCACCGCAGCUCUAUCUCACAGUUGGAGAAGCAGAAGCAAAGCAACCUGUCCUGGACCAUGCAGCCUGGUCCUCUGUUUCCAGAGCCAGAGGUCUUUGUGCUCUGAAACAAAGACAGUGACCCCAUUAACCCACUGGCACUUACUGUGUGCCAGGCACUCAGCCUGUGUUGUCUCAUUGCAGCACAGAGCAGCCCUGGGAAUGGAAGCAGUGUCAUCAUUCCCAUUUUUCAGGUGAGGCACAGGCUCAGAAAGGUCAAGAAACUUGCUCACGGUCUCACAGCUGGUGAGUAGGUUGUCAGACUCCAAAGAUGUGUGCUGCUAACCCUGCCCAAAGGGACUUCAUCCUCCUCCCUCCUUCCCAGGCAGUUCUCCCAACCACCCACCAACAGGCAACGUAGGUGUGAUUGCCUUCAAAGUUUUCUACUUGCCUUCAAGCUUGAAGCACUGGAGACUGAGGGAAGAGAGCACUGGAAGUGGAGGAAGAAAAAAGAGCUGUUCCCUCCAAGGUUGUUCCCUUGGGCCUGACUCGACUGGAAGAAGCAGGGUGUAUAUGUGUGUGUGUGUGUAAUUGACUUUGUGACCAUGAAACUGAGUUAAUACUCUUCUGUCUUUGCCUGUUUCUUCUUGUACAUCACCUAGAGGAAUACCCAUUAAUGUUUAGAGGCAGAGAACAAUAGAAAAUAGCACUGUUCAAGGACCAAAAAUUUAAAAAGACUGCUGACAUACAGCAUAGAAUGUGAAAGUCCCUGAUAAUCUUAUCCCUAGGGAUAACCACUUGCCAUUUUUUUACAAUUUCAAUUUUUUAUGAUUAUAAAAGUCAUACACAUUUAAAAAUACUUCAAAAUAAAUACAAAAUAAAAAUAAAUGCUUCAUUGCUUAGGUUACCUUGGUACAUGCAAGGUCUGAGACCACAUCCAUCAAUGCAGUUUGCUGCGUGGAUUACCAGAUCUCUCCAACAUUGACCUCAAUUUUUUACUCUGAGAGCAAACAGAAUGGGCAAGGGCUGACCUGAAAUCCUUUUGAAACACAAGCUGGAUCCUAGGGCUUUGACCUCCACUGCUCACUGCCACAUGGGAUCCGUCUCUGUGCCCCACUCUGCCCCAGCCCCACUGGCCUUCCUGCUGCUGCUCACACAGGCCUACUCUUAAGGCCUUUGCAUACUCUGUUCCCUGCAGAGGCCUCUGCCUCUGAACAAAUGUGGGACCCAUCUCUGCCAAGGCUGGGAAGCAAACAGCCCCCACUUUGCCUUGUCAGCCUGUGUUUGCACCAUUCCUGUGGUGGCCUCUCCCAGCUGCUUUCACGUGGGAUUUGAGCUCUGGGAAGCUGGAAGUUUGUGGAGUCCACUUCCCUCAUUUUGCAUAUAUGGAUGAUAAAGCCCACAGGCAAGGGCUCUGACAAAAGGAAAGAUUCCUUCCAUUUGGCAUUGUGAUGCAGAGGCUGUCACAGACAAGCCUGGGAAUUUGGGAUACAUCUUGCUGAGCCUAGAGACAGAAAAGAGCUUCUAGGCUGCCUUCCCUGAGCCCCGGGCCAGGCCCCUCCAGGACACACUUGCAUGGCACCCUGUUCUUUAAAACACUGCACACCAACGACUAUGCAAAGGAUUAACUGACUUCUCAAUAUUCUUGUUUUCUACCGAGUGAUAAGCUUCAGAAGGACAAGGUAUGAGUCCGUUUUGCUCUUUUGCCUUCCCCAGCACAUGGCACAAUGCCCAGCACAUAGUGUUUUGAGAGACAGCUGACUGGCUGUCUCAUACAAGGCCCUGCUCUGUUGGGCACAAGGGCUGCUUAACACAUUCCUAUGCUACAAAAGACAGUGCUCCUCUCCAGGAACCACCAAAUAAAUUCAGAUACUAAUGCCAAAAAGAAGGCAGCAUCAGCUUGGGAAAAGAGUGCCUUUAAGGCACUGUUUCUCUCUAUGAAGGCAGUGUGGAAUGAUAGGGAUGAUCUAGGACCUAGAGGAGAGACCUUAAGUCUUACUUGCAGCCAAAAGCCUUCAAACCUGAGCUAGCCAGAACUGUUACAUCAGAAUUCUCACCCAUGACAAGAAGCCUGGAGGGAGUCCAGGGUUGAUGGAUUGACUUAAGGUGUCAUCAAAAGCUUAGACUUUACCCUUCUGCUGCACCACCCUUAUUGCCUUGUUGUCACAAGAGGACUACUGCUGUUCAAGUCAUCACUUCCACAUUCCAGAAGGAAGAAAGGAGAGGUAGAGGGCCAGAAGUAUCCCCUCCUUUUAUCAGGAGCCAUUAACUUUCCCAGAAACUUCCAUGUCCACCCAGCAGACCUCCACUUACAUCUCACUAGGCAGAACUCCUAUCACUUGGCCACCCCAGCAGUCAGGGAAGCUGGAAGGGUGAGCAUUCAGCUAUAGAGAGUGGAAGCACAAGCAGCAAGGGAAGAACAGGUCAGUAAUUGCUGUAGAGUUUCCUGCCCAGCAGCAUCUGCCAAAACUAGGUAAAUUAUUUUUUAACAUAAUAGUAUUUUUGUGGAUUUUCUUACAAAAGCAAUGCAUAUAUAUUGUUACUUUGAAAAAUAAAGAUUUUAAAUCUUCAACAAGCCCAUUACUCAGGAGUGAUGACUGUUAUUCUUGGUUUAUUAGCUUUCUAGAUCUUUGUAUUUUUUUUAACGUGGGUAGAACCACAAUAUGGGUUGCUCUGAAAUUAGCCUUUACACUUGGCAUUGUGAAAAAUCUUUCCAAAUCAUUAAAUGUUCUCUGCAGAAUUACAUUUUAUGUAUUUGUGUUUUAUUGAAUAAGGCACAUAAUUUGUUUAUUCAGUCUCUUGGUGUUCGGCAUGUUUAUAACAGUAAAAUGUGAG
Molecule: long non-coding RNA, 3502 nt
Filed under: Homo sapiens (human)
Lineage: Eukaryota; Metazoa; Chordata; Mammalia; Primates; Hominidae
Description: HSALNT0311513
Source: RNAcentral